This 615-nucleotide ribosomal RNA is filed under the name uncultured bacterium. RNAcentral describes it as "bacterial SSU rRNA". The stretch from base 1 to 514 matches the Rfam family "Bacterial small subunit ribosomal RNA", at positions 338 to 873 of the family's 1533-position model. The record is from RNAcentral.
CCUACGGGAGGCAGCAGUGGGGAAUCUUGCACAAUGGAGGAAACUCUGAUGCAGCGAUGCCGCGUGAGUGAAGAAGGCCUUUGGGUUGUAAAGCUCUUUUGUAGGGGAAGAUAAUGACUGUACCCUAAGAAUAAGGUCCGGCUAACUUCGUGCCAGCAGCCGCGGUAAUACGAAGGGACCUAGCGUAGUUCGGAAUUACUGGGCGUAAAGCGCGCGUAGGCCGUUGAGUUAGUUAAUUGUGAAAUCCCAAAGCUUAACUUUGGAACUGCAAUUAAAACUGCUCGACUAGAGUUUGAUAGAGGAAAGCGGAAUACAUAGUGUAGAGGUGAAAUUCGUAGAUAUUAUGUAGAACACCAGUUGCGAAGGCGGCUUUCUGGAUCAACACUGACGCUGAGGCGCGAAAGUAUGGGUAGCAAAGAGGAUUAGAUACCCUCGUAGUCCAUACCAUAAACGAUGAUUGCUAGAUGUUGGAAAUUUAUUUUCAGUAUCGCAGCUACGCAUAANACAUACCGCCGUCGGGUAGGUACGACCGACCGAACGGUUAAAACGUAACAAAUAGUAAGUUAAGUACGGUCGUUGAGUACGUUGCCGAACGGCGACGACGAGGGGAGGAGG